CCCUUCUCAGGGUCACACCUGGAGAGUUUCUAGUACUCCACCAGUCUUGGCUAUGGGAGGGAGAGUCAAACAGAGGUCUCUCCAUUCUAUUCCUAGCUUGGCCAGUGGCUAGCCAGUGGAAGGCAAUCUGCUACAAGU
This is a small nucleolar RNA of Tachyglossus aculeatus (Australian echidna), 138 nucleotides long. NCBI's taxonomy places the organism in Eukaryota, Metazoa, Chordata, Mammalia, Monotremata, Tachyglossidae. The record is from RefSeq and is a predicted model, not a curated record.